AGACUUGCUCUUCCUGAAGGACAAUGUAAAGACCGACAUAGAUAGAGGAAAAGAAAGGAGAUUGGAAGAGGACAACAAAUCAAGGCAGCUAGAAGUGGAGAGACAGAGAGAAUUGAAAACUGUGAGACUGAAAGAAGAGGAGAGCAAGAGGAAAGCCAUGAUGGAAAAACUGAAAGAGGACGAAAGGAGGAAGAGAUGGAUGGAAGCAGAAAUGGAGAGAAAGGAACAGGAGGAGAGGCUGAGAGAAAAGGAAAGGGCCAAACUAAGAGAAGAGGAGAGAAAGAAAAAAGAGAUGCAAGAGAAGACAAGGAGAGAGCUGGAGCAGAUAACACAAAGAGAGAGGGAGGAGAAGGGGAAGAAAGCCAAAGUGGCCAAGAAAUUAAUCCAGGCAUGUGACAGCGAUGACAUUGACGUAGAGAGCUUGAGUGAUGAAGAUAUGUGGAAGGAUAAGGAGCUCCCAAUGGACCAAGAGAAAAGGCAGACAAAAGACGAAAAGGAACAUGCAUGGCUACAGGAAAAACACAACAAAGAGAAGGAAAAUGAGAAUCCAAGUGACUCCAAGACUGUGACUAAUUCAAAUAGUUUGUGGAUGCAUAAGGCCAAGAGCCCAAAGCUGUCAGUCAGCAAUGUAUGGACGAUCCAGCAAUAUGAUAAUACAGAGACUGAUCAUGUCAUACAAGGUCAUUCUGAGGUAGGAGAAACACUUGUGAUGACACUCAGUAAUGAUGAUAUGAAUACAUGGACCCAGCUAAAGGCAAAAACAGAUGAAGAGGAUGCAGAGAGAGAGAAACAGAGGCAGAUGGACGAAAAGAGGAUGAGAGAUGUGGACAACGGAGGAAAGAAAAAAGAGAGAAAAAAGGGGGAGAUGGUAGCACAGAAAGAAAACAAGACACUCAGGAUGAGCGGAGACUUAGAAAUAGUCCAAAAGAUAGAGGAUGAAAGAAAGAAAAAAGAGAUGGAGAAAGCAGCACAGAAGGAGCAAAAAGAGGACGAGAGGAAAAAGAAAGAGAUUGAGGAGAAGAAAGAAGUGAGAGAAAGGGAGGAGAUGAGAAAGACUAAAGAGGUGAUGAACAGGAGGGGGGAGGCUCUGUCAGGAGACAGCGAUGACAGCGACUGGGCGACUGACUCCGAUGACUUGUGGAUGGAUGAGUUGGAGAGACGGGAAACAGAGAGAAAGAGAGAGGAGAUUGAGAAAGUGAGAGUUGAGACAGAGCAAAAAAGAGAAGAACAGGAGAAAAGGAUGGAGGAGAUGAUGAUAGCAGAGAUGGUGAGAAAGAAAGAGGAGAUGGAGAAAGCAGCACAGAAGGAGCAAAAAGAGGACGAGAGGAGAAAGAUAGAGAUUGAGGAGGAGAAAGCAAGAGAGGAGGCAAGAAAAGUGAGAGAAAAGGAGGAGAUGAGAAAGACUGAAGAGGUGAUGAACAGGAGGGGGGAGACUCUUUCAGGAGACAGCGAUGACAGCGACCGGGCGACUGACUCCGAUGACUUGUGGAUGGAUGAGUUGGAGAGACGGGAAACAGAGAGAAACAGAGAGGAGAUUGAGAAAGUGAGAGUUGAGACAGAGCUGAAUAGACAGAGACAGGAAAGAGGGAUAGAGAUUGAGAGAGCUAAAGCAGAGAUGGUGAGAAAGAGAGAGGAGAUUGAGAAAGUGAGAGUGGUGAUGGAGCGAAAAAGAGAUGAAGUAGAAAUUCAAAUACACAAAGAAAUGGAGAGGGAGAGACAUGAAGACCCGAGGCAAAAAGGAGAGGAGAGACAAGAGGGAAGUGAGAAAAUACAGGAGGAGACCUGCAAGCCAUGGAAGUCCAUGGGACUAUCCUUUGAAGACACUGAGGAUAGAUCAGAAGAAGACUGGAAGGAAACUGAGGAGGAGAUGAACAGGAGGGGGGAGGCUCUCUCAGGAGACAGCGAUGACAGCGACGGGGAGACUGACUCUGAUGACGUGUGGAUGGAUGAGGUGGAGAAACAGGCGAAGGAGGUGGAGCAAAUGAGAGAGGAGAUUCUAAGAAACGAGGAAGUGGAGAGAAGGAGAACAGAGAUGGAAAGAUACAAAGAAAUGGAAAGAGAGAAACAGGCGAUAGAGAAAAGAAGACAGAAUAUUGAGAAAGUGAGAGUGGAGACAGAGCGAAAAAGAGAGGAACAGGAAAGAAGGAUAGACAUGGAGAGAGCUAAAGCAAAGAUAGUGAGAAAGAGAGAGGAGAUUGAGAAAGUGACAGUAGAGACCCAGCAAAAAAGUGAGGAGGUAAAAAUGGAAAUACACAAAGACAUGGAGAAGGAGAGAGAUAAAGACCAGAGACAAAAAGGAAAGGAUAGACAAGAGGGAAGUGAUAAUUCAGGAAAAGAAAAGAAGGAGAAGAUGGAGAAGAAGGAGGAUGAGAAAGUGAAUGAGCCCCAAACGAGAGACAAGAGGAACUCAGAUAUGAUGUGGAAAAUUGAGGAGGAGACCUCCCAGCUGUGGAAGUCCAUGGGACUAUCCUUUGAAGACACUGAGGAUGGAUCAGAAGAAGACUGGAAGGAAACUGAGGAGGCCAGUGUAGACCUAGACUUGCUCUUCCUGAAGGACAAUGAAAAGACUGAAAUAGAUAGAGGAAAAGAAAGGAGAUUGGAAGAGGAGAACAAAUCAAGACAGCUAAAAGUGGAGACACAGCGAGAAAUGAAAACUGUGAGACUGAAAGAAGAGGAGAGCAAGAGGAAAGCCAUGAUGGAACAACUGAAAGAGGACGAAAGGAGGAAGAGAGGGAUGGAAGCAGAAAUGGAGAGAAAGGAACAGGAGGAGAGGCUGAGAGAAAAGGAAAGGGCCAAACUAAGAGAAGAGGAGAGAAAGAAAAAAGAGAUGCAAGAGAAGACAAGGAGAGAGCUGGAGCAGAUAACACAAAGAGAGAGGGAGGAGAAGGGGAAGAAAGCCAAAGUGGCCAAUAAAUUAAUCCAGGCACGUGACAGCGAUGACAUUGACGUAGAGAGCUUGAGUGAUGAAGAUAUGUGGAAGGAUAAGGAGCUCCCAAUGGACCAAAAGAAAAGGCAGACAAAAGACGAAAAGGAACACGCAUGGCUACAGG
Long non-coding RNA from Clupea harengus (Atlantic herring), 3050 nucleotides. Lineage: Eukaryota; Metazoa; Chordata; Actinopteri; Clupeiformes; Clupeidae. The record is from Ensembl.